This 242-nucleotide unclassified non-coding RNA is filed under the name Hevea brasiliensis (rubber tree). The record is from RNAcentral. Lineage: Eukaryota; Viridiplantae; Streptophyta; Magnoliopsida; Malpighiales; Euphorbiaceae.
ACUAUCUCAUCAAAAUGGUUUAAUACCUCCACAGAUGAUGCCACAACUGCAGCCGCAGCAGCAUAGACUGCACCAUCCAAUUCAGCCAUCAUUAAGCCAUUUAUCAGGCAUGCAGUCUCAACUAUUUAGUCCUCAUCUUUCUUCACCGCCACCCAUGAUGAGCAAGUUUGAAGUGCUUGGUCUGGGUGAUAUUAGAGAUCAAAGACCAAAUCAAAAUCUGCGUUAUUCUCAACAGGGAUUUG